AGUAGCGCCAGCAGGUAGCUCUUGUGUUUCUGAAAUGGUCUAACUACUUUGAUUAAAGUAGGAAACUAGCAACAAUAAACAAGGAGAAAUUCGUGAAAGAGAAGUUAUCCAACGUCGUGGAGCUGCCGACCCCGUCCAAACGGCGUGUGAAUUGAAUAUUCCGGCUGUUUUUUUGGUGAGACUCUACUGGGAGACAGAACUGUGCUGCUCAAGUCACCGCCGUCAUACUGCCUCCUGGGUUUCAUCUUCAUCACCACCAUCUUCUUACCGCUCACUAGACCUUCGCCAUCAUCAUCUCCACGACUCACAGGACUUUCACGUCGUUUCCUUACUCUAUUCUCUGAGGAGCCAGGAUGGACAGUUUUACCUGCUAAGGGUGGUGGUAGGAACUUGAGUGCACUCAAACUAAUGAAACAGGGUUGAACAAACAGACUGAUUUAGUAUUCCCCUGGUUAUCUCUAUGAAAUAAGAGAUCUCAGUUUUUGGUUAAUUUGGUUUUAUAUUUUUAUUUUCUUUGUCAGGUUUUUGAUAUUUAAGUUGUGGUUUGAAUACAUUGGGUUUGAACCUAAUUGGCCUAUCUACCAAACUGAUUUUGAUUACCAUACUGAAUCAUUUAGUUUAGCCAUGCUAGACUUCUGGUAAAAGAUUAUUUUGCAUAAUCUCAAGUUUUAAAGUAGUACUGGUCGUGGGUGCAAUUUGUUUCAUGCCCAAGCUACGACUUAAAUGAAGACAGGAAAAAAAUAACCCUACAGUUAAGUCAAGUUACUCUGAGUCACUAUCUUAUUAUGUUUGUAACUUGAAUCUUGAAAGCUCUUUUUAAAUACCUAGUUGUUUAAAUAAAGUUGCCCCCCAAAAAUAAUUAUCACCAGCCGACACUGGAUUUGAAGGCAUUUAUAUGAUAUACAAUGGAUUACAUUUGUUCCAAAAAAAGGGGGUAUUUCUUGAGAACAAUUUGAACUUAAGCAAGAGGAAGGACUUGUUGAGGUUAACUGAUGAUUGGCUUAGGUGUUAGUUUAGGUUAUCCAUUAACAAAAGAUAGAGAUUUAAGCAAGAGGAAGGACUUGUUGAGGUUAACUGAUGAUUGGCUUAGGUGUUAGUUUAGGUUAUCCAUUAACAAAAGAUAGAGAUUUAUGUUGAAAAAAAGAGUUUGCGGGAGUAGUACAAUGUUUGUGAUGUUGUGUUGAAAAAUGUAGAUUCAACACGUUUACCCAGUGAUGAGUUCAGAUGAAAUAUAGUUUUUUGUAAAGAGUACAUUGAAGCUGUCUGUAUUGCUGUAUGUUUUGUAUUUAUUAGUAUUUCUAUUAACUUGUAACCCUUGUCCUAAAGGAUGAUGACUGAAGUUUUCUACACCUAAUAUUUCUGCUGACUUUAAAGUUAAACAACUAAACGAUGGACUUUAUAUAAAGAAACUGGAAAUGUA
This is a long non-coding RNA of Perca flavescens (yellow perch), 1420 nucleotides long. RefSeq lists it as uncharacterized. The transcript is spliced from 2 exons. The record is from RefSeq and is a predicted model, not a curated record. Lineage: Eukaryota; Metazoa; Chordata; Actinopteri; Perciformes; Percidae.